Molecule: long non-coding RNA, 231 nt
Organism: Neopelma chrysocephalum (saffron-crested tyrant-manakin)
Lineage: Eukaryota; Metazoa; Chordata; Aves; Passeriformes; Pipridae
Exons: 4
Source: RefSeq, a predicted model, not a curated record
CAGUGUCUUCUGGGCCUGCUAGAGUUACAGUAUCCUUGUACGUACUAGUUGGCUGGUAAACAGGAGGUUGUGAUUAGCAAAACAAAAGCAACUGAGAACCACCUGUGUAAACAAAAGAAAGGAGUAAAGGCGAAAUCAACAUUUAAGUAAGAACCAAUAAUGAGCUUAGCUUUUGCAAUAUGUAUGAGCUAAUUAUAAAGUGUAUAUUAAGCUGUUGGCAAUGUUCAAUAA